Molecule: long non-coding RNA, 595 nt
Organism: Populus euphratica (Euphrates poplar)
Lineage: Eukaryota; Viridiplantae; Streptophyta; Magnoliopsida; Malpighiales; Salicaceae
Exons: 2
Source: RefSeq, a predicted model, not a curated record
UCAAAUUUGCCAUACGCAGUUCUGAUUCUUCUAUUGCAUUUAAUCAAAUUUGAUGCUUUGCUUUUCUAGCUUGUGACAAUUUUCAAUUAAAAGCUGUUUGCUAUUGUACAGCUCUGACAGAAUUAACGAUCACUAGUAUGGUUCUUAUUGAACUGAAGAUCAAUUAAAUAUUUGUACUGUGGUUUUUGGAUCUUUCGUAGACCUCUGCCCUGCCAUUUCUUUCAUCUUCAUGCUUUGCAUUUUUCUUUGAAUUGAAGAUCCGCUAAAACAUAGUUUUCUCCAUGAAAUGAGCUGUGGACUUAUUCUCUUAGCAUUCUUAUGGAGGCUGUUCAUAUGUUUUGGAUUUGGUGUCGAAGCACCAAAGAUGACCUUUAUGUCGGUCCCUGGAUCCCAGUUCAUGGGUAGCUUUGAUCCCGGUGAAUAAGUAAAGUUAGGUCAUAGUCAUCCCGCGGAGGUGGUUGUCCAAUUUGCCAGUUAAAUGCCAUGCAACUGAGAUUGAUUGUGAAUGUCAAGCAUAUGAUUUGUCCUGUUUGACUAAGCCACUAAAUCAAGCAAUGAUGCUUCCUAAACCUUUGAUUUUUUUUUAUUAUUAUUA